This 180-nucleotide ribosomal RNA is filed under the name uncultured bacterium. Its description in RNAcentral is "partial 16S ribosomal RNA". It matches the Rfam family "Bacterial small subunit ribosomal RNA", at positions 286 to 461 of the family's 1533-position model. The record is from RNAcentral.
GGGGUUCUGANAGGAAGGUCCCCCACAUUGGCAACUGAGACACGGUNCCAAACUCCUACGGGNAGGCAGCAGUGAGGAAUAUUGGUCAAUGGGCGAGAGCCUGAACCAGCCAAGUAGCGUGAAGGAUGACUGCCCUAUGGGUUGUAAACUUCUUUUAUAAAGGAAUAAAGUCGGGUAUGU